RNAcentral lists this non-coding RNA (464 nucleotides) under Pan troglodytes (chimpanzee). Lineage: Eukaryota; Metazoa; Chordata; Mammalia; Primates; Hominidae. The record is from RNAcentral.
UUUUGUAAAUACCUGUGACCUAGUGUCGUGAGUGCUUAGCAACACCUGACACACACUAAGCUCUCAAUAAGUGGUAGCUUUAGUAUUACCAUUAUAUCCCAAUUAGUACAAGCACCUUACCUUAAUGCUUUCAUGGUUGUUCUAGGCCAGUGGUUCUGAAAGUGGUUCUAGACCAGCAACAGCAGCAGUAGCAGCAGCACCUGUGAACUUGUUAGAAAUGCAAAGUUUCAGGCCCAUUCCAGUUCUACUGAAUCUGAAACUCGAAGGGAACAGCAACCUAUGUUUUAAUAAACCCCAAGAACUAUGGCUCCUUAACUCAGAAGGGCCCUUUUUUCUCAAAACAACCUCUGCAAGAUGUAACCUUGACUUCCCAGGAAAAUGAAAGGUAGUUAACAAUUUCCCCCAUCACCUAUGUAACUCCCUAAAUAAAUAAAAAUUACAGGCAGUUGCUCCUGGAGAUUACA